Molecule: long non-coding RNA, 576 nt
Organism: Ornithodoros turicata
Lineage: Eukaryota; Metazoa; Arthropoda; Arachnida; Ixodida; Argasidae
Exons: 2
Source: RefSeq, a predicted model, not a curated record
UACCACAUCCGUUAUCUGCCGAGAAGCGGCCUUCGGGUCAGAGCUCACCUUUUCCAAUUUUCGGAACCUUCCUUGUCAUACACGGCCUAACGCAACUCCUUACAAGUAUCUCCUUGCCGCACUCCCCGCCCAUCCAUCGACACUGGACUCCCACGACCGGCGUCGGACGCCGGACACUGCUUACCAUAAAUCACGGCGCGACAACGCUUAGAGAUAUUGACCGCGGAAAACAAACAGGUCUGGGCAUAACGGCAGCUGCGCCGUUUUCCUGUAUCGCUUCUUUGCGCUCCCUAAAGACAUCUAUCAUCGUCUUCGGAAAAUAGGUGCGAAAGGAAGCUCUAGCCGAACACCUUGCCGAGCAUAUUCAUCUGCGCGCGGGAGUACGUGUAGGCGUCGGCUACCGCAUAAUGUAUGAGGUCACUUUUUUUCCCAAGAGGGAUUGUGAUUUCGCGUGUGCAUGAGCUUUACAGAAAGGAGGUACGUGCUGAGAACGACAAAAGCUGCGACGGUGAGGAAAGUGAGAAUGCUGUUCCCUAUACUGAUUAUCUAGUUUGUAUAUUAAAAAGAGAGGCUCGA